CCUACGGGUGGCAGCAGUGGGGAAUAUUGGACAAUGGGCGAAAGCCUGAUCCAGCCAUGCCGCGUGUGUGAAGAAGGCCUUCGGGUUGUAAAGCACUUUCAGUGGGGAAGAAAGCCUUGGGGCUAAUACCCUCGAGGAAGGACAUCACCCACAGAAGAAGCACCGGCUAACUCCGUGCCAGCAGCCGCGGUAAUACGGAGGGUGCGAGCGUUAAUCGGAAUUACUGGGCGUAAAGCGCGCGUAGGCGGUCUGAUAAGCCGGUUGUGAAAGCCCCGGGCUCAACCUGGGAACGGCAUCCGGAACUGGCAGGCUAGAGUGCAGGAGAGGAAGGUAGAAAUCCCGGUGUAGCGGUGAAAUGCGUAGAGAUCGGGAGGAAUACCAGUGGCGAAGGCGGCCUUCUGGACUGACACUGACGCUGAGGUGCGAAAGCGUGGGUAGCAAACAGGAUUAGAUACCCGAGUAGUC
RNAcentral lists this ribosomal RNA (465 nucleotides) under Vreelandella stevensii. RNAcentral describes it as "partial 16S ribosomal RNA". It matches the Rfam family "Bacterial small subunit ribosomal RNA", at positions 338 to 795 of the family's 1533-position model. Lineage: Bacteria; Pseudomonadati; Pseudomonadota; Gammaproteobacteria; Oceanospirillales; Halomonadaceae. The record is from RNAcentral.